UACAGAGGUCCCAAGCGUUGUUCGGAUUCAUUGGGCGUAAAGGGUGCGUAGGUGGCAUGGUAAGUCGGGUGUGAAAUCCCGGGGCUCAACCCCGGAACUGCACUCGAUACUACCGUGCUCGAGUACUGGAGAGGAGACUGGAAUUUACGGUGUAGCAGUGAAAUGCGUAGAUAUUGGGAAGAACACCUGAGGCGAAGGCGGGUUGCUGGGCUGAUACUGACGCUGAGGCGCGAAAGCCAGGGGAGCAAACGGG
Molecule: ribosomal RNA, 253 nt
Filed under: uncultured bacterium
Lineage: Bacteria
Description: partial 16S ribosomal RNA
Rfam family: Bacterial small subunit ribosomal RNA
Source: RNAcentral